This 773-nucleotide ribosomal RNA is filed under the name uncultured Neocallimastigales. Its description in RNAcentral is "partial large subunit ribosomal RNA". It matches the Rfam family "Eukaryotic large subunit ribosomal RNA", at positions 23 to 644 of the family's 3401-position model. Lineage: Eukaryota; Fungi; Neocallimastigomycota; Neocallimastigomycetes; Neocallimastigales. The record is from RNAcentral.
GAGAGAGACAUGCGCGCAUAUCAAUAAGCGGAGGAAAAGAAACUAACAAGGAUUCCCUUAGUAACGGCGAGUGAAGCGGGAAGAGCUCAAAUUUGAAAUCUUCAAGGUUCUACCUUGACGAAUUGUAGUUUAUAGAAGUGUUUUCUGUUAGUGGAGUGGCAAAAGUUCUUUGGAAUAGGACAUCAUAGAGGGUGAGAAUCCCGUAUUUGGUCAUUCCUCCUAGCGUUGUGAUACACUUUCAACGAGUCGGAUUGUUUGGGAAUGCAGUCCAAAAUGGGUGGUAAAUUUCAUCUAAAGCUAAAUAUUGGCGAGAGACCGAUAGCGAACAAGUACCGUGAGGGAAAGAUGAAAAGAACUUUGAAAAGAGAGUUAAACAGUACGUGAAAUUGUCAAAAGGGAAGCGUUUGACACCAGUGUUGUUUUUCCGAAAAUCAAUUACGAAUGUUUUGUUUUUGAGGAGUUAUGACUUCAUCGGCUUGCUUCUUUCUUUACGAAACUUUCUUAAUGCACUUUUCGGUUAACAGGUCAACAUCAAUUUCUUUUGUUGUAAAAGGGUAUGAGGAAGGUGGCUUUCUUUUCGGAGAAAGUGUUUAUAGCCUUGUACCUCUGCAAUCGGAGAGAUUGAGGUCUGCAGCGUAGAUCCUUCGGGGUCAGAUACAUUUGUGCUAAGUUAUAGCUUUUCAUAGACAACUUGUUGACUAUGUUUAGUCUUGUAGCUUACUCGCUUAUGCUAUUUUACCUACGCUUAGGAUGUUGAUAGUCACAGCGUGUAC